CGCCGCGUGAGUGAAGAAGGGUUUCGGCUCGUAAAACUCUGUUGUUAAAGAAGAACAUAUCUGAGAGUAACUGUUCAGGUAUUGACGGUAUUUAACCAGAAAGCCACGGCUAACUACGUGCCAGCAGCCGCGGUAAUACGUAGGUGGCAAGCGUUGUCCGGAUUUAUUGGGCGUAAAGCGAGCGCAGGCGGUUUUUUAAGUCUGAUGUGAAAGCCUUCGGCUCAACCGAAGAAGUGCAUCGGAAACUGGGAAACUUGAGUGCAGAAGAGGACAGUGGAACUCCAUGUGUAGCGGUGAAAUGCGUAGAUAUAUGGAAGAACACCAGUGGCGAAGGCGGCUGUCUGGUCUGUAACUGACGCUGAGGCUCGAAAGUAUGGGUAGCAAACAGGAUUAGAUACCCUGGUAGUCCAUACCGUAAACGAUGAAUGCUAAGUGUUGGAGGGUUUCCGCCCUUCAGUGCUGCAGCUAACGCAUUAAGCAUUCCGCCUGGGGAGUACGGCCGCAAGGCUGAAACUCAAAGGAAUUGACGGGGGCCCGCACAAGCGGUGGAGCAUGUGGUUUAAUUCGAAGCUACGCGAAGAACCUUACCAGGUCUUGACAUACUAUGCAAAUCUAAGAGAUUAGACG
This 627-nucleotide ribosomal RNA is filed under the name Lactiplantibacillus plantarum. RNAcentral describes it as "bacterial SSU rRNA". It matches the Rfam family "Bacterial small subunit ribosomal RNA", at positions 395 to 1013 of the family's 1533-position model. The record is from RNAcentral. Lineage: Bacteria; Bacillati; Bacillota; Bacilli; Lactobacillales; Lactobacillaceae.